GUAAAUUUGGCAGAUGAAAUGUAACAGAUUUAGGAUCUGUCCAUAAAAGUUAAAACUUUUAAUUUACA
RNAcentral lists this transfer RNA (68 nucleotides) under Octolasmis warwickii. RNAcentral's name for it is "tRNA-Leu". It matches the Rfam family "tRNA". From Rfam's summary of the family: Transfer RNA (tRNA) molecules are approximately 80 nucleotides in length. Their secondary structure includes four short double-helical elements and three loops (D, anti-codon, and T loops). Further hydrogen bonds mediate the characteristic L-shaped molecular structure. tRNAs have two regions of fundamental functional importance: the anti-codon, which is responsible for specific mRNA codon recognition, and the 3' end, to which the tRNAs corresponding amino acid is attached (by aminoacyl-tRNA synthetases). tRNAs cope with the degeneracy of the genetic code in two manners: having more than one tRNA (with a specific anti-codon) for a particular amino acid; and 'wobble' base-pairing, i.e. permitting non-standard base-pairing at the 3rd anti-codon position. Lineage: Eukaryota; Metazoa; Arthropoda; Thecostraca; Poecilasmatidae. The record is from RNAcentral.